This 234-nucleotide ribosomal RNA is filed under the name uncultured bacterium. Its description in RNAcentral is "partial 16S ribosomal RNA". It matches the Rfam family "Bacterial small subunit ribosomal RNA", at positions 524 to 755 of the family's 1533-position model. The record is from RNAcentral.
UACGGUAGGGCGCAAGCGUUGUCCGGAAUUAUUGGGCGUAAAGAGCUCGUAGGCGGUUUGUCGCGUCUGCUGUGAAAACUCGAGGCUCAACCUCGGGCUUGCAGUGGGUACGGGCAGACUAGAGUGCGGUAGGGGUGACUGGAAUUCCUGGUGUAGCGGUGGAAUGCGCAGAUAUCAGGAGGAACACCGAUGGCGAAGGCAGGUCACUGGGCCGCAACUGACGCUGGAGGAGCG